Molecule: ribosomal RNA, 466 nt
Filed under: uncultured bacterium
Lineage: Bacteria
Description: partial 16S ribosomal RNA
Rfam family: Bacterial small subunit ribosomal RNA
Source: RNAcentral
GAUGAACGCUGGCGGCGUGCUCAACACAUGCAAGUCGAACGAUGAAGCCCAGCUUGCUGGGUGGAUUAGUGGCGAACGGGUGAGUAACACGUGAGUAACCUGCCCUUAACUCUGGGAUAAGCCUGGGAAACUGGGUCUAAUACCGGAUAGGAGCGUCCACCGCAUGGUGGGUGUUGGAAAGAUUUAUCGGUUUUGGAUGGACUCGCGGCCUAUCAGCUUGUUGGUGAGGUAAUGGCUCACCAAGGCGACGACGGGUAGCCGGCCUGAGAGGGUGACCGGCCACACUGGGACUGAGACACGGCCCAGACUCCUACGGGAGGCAGCAGUGGGGAAUAUUGCACAAUGGGCGCAAGCCUGAUGCAGCGACGCCGCGUGAGGGAUGACGGCCUUCGGGUUGUAAACCUCUUUCAGUAGGGAAGAAGCGAAAGUGACGGUACCUGCAGAAGAAGCACCGGCUAACUACGUG